RNAcentral lists this ribosomal RNA (751 nucleotides) under Celeribacter baekdonensis. RNAcentral describes it as "bacterial SSU rRNA". It matches the Rfam family "Bacterial small subunit ribosomal RNA", at positions 100 to 888 of the family's 1533-position model. Lineage: Bacteria; Pseudomonadati; Pseudomonadota; Alphaproteobacteria; Rhodobacterales; Roseobacteraceae. The record is from RNAcentral.
GACGGGUUAGUAACGCGUGGGAACGUACCCAGAUCUACGGAAUAGCCUCGGGAAACUGAGAGUAAUACCGUAUACGCCCUUCGGGGGAAAGAUUUAUCGGAUUUGGAUCGGCCCGCGUAAGAUUAGAUAGUUGGUGGGGUAAUGGCCUACCAAGUCUACGAUCUUUAGCUGGUUUGAGAGGAUGAUCAGCAACACUGGGACUGAGACACGGCCCAGACUCCUACGGGAGGCAGCAGUGGGGAAUCUUAGACAAUGGGCGCAAGCCUGAUCUAGCGAUGCCGCGUGAGUGAUGAAGGCCUUAGGGUCGUAAAGCUCUUUCGCCUGUGAAGAUAAUGACGGUAGCAGGUAAAGAAACCCCGGCUAACUCCGUGCCAGCAGCCGCGGUAAUACGGAGGGGGUUAGCGUUGUUCGGAAUUACUGGGCGUAAAGCGCACGUAGGCGGACUAGUCAGUCAGAGGUGAAAUCCCAGGGCUCAACCCUGGAACUGCCUUUGAUACUGCUAGUCUUGAGUUCGAGAGAGGUAAGUGGAAUUCCGAGUGUAGAGGUGAAAUUCGUAGAUAUUCGGAGGAACACCAGUGGCGAAGGCGGCUUACUGGCUCGAUACUGACGCUGAGGUGCGAAAGUGUGGGGAGCAAACAGGAUUAGAUACCCUGGUAGUCCACACCGUAAACGAUGAAUGCCAGACGUCGGGUAGCAUGCUAUUCGGUGUCACACCUAACGGAUUAAGCAUUCCGCCUGGGGAGUACGGUCG